RNAcentral lists this ribosomal RNA (1591 nucleotides) under Photorhabdus luminescens. RNAcentral describes it as "16S ribosomal RNA". It matches the Rfam family "Bacterial small subunit ribosomal RNA". Lineage: Bacteria; Pseudomonadati; Pseudomonadota; Gammaproteobacteria; Enterobacterales; Morganellaceae. The record is from RNAcentral.
ACACAUGCAAGUCGGGCGGUAACAGGAAAGCGCUUGCGCUUUUGCUGACGAGCGGCGGACNGGGUGAGUAAUGUCUGGGGAUCUGCCCGGGGGCGGGGGAUAACCACUGGAAACGGUGGCUNAAUACCGCAUAAUGUCGCAAGACCAAAGUGGGGGACCUGAAAGCCACUGGAAACGGUGGCUNAAUACCGCAUAAUGUCGCAAGACCAAAGUGGGGGACCUGAAAGGGCCUCACGCCGUCGGANUGAACCCAGAUGGGAUUAGCUGGUAGGUAGGGUAAUGGCCUACCUAGGCGACGAUCCCUANGCUGGUCUGAGAGGAUGACCAGCCACACUGGGACUGAGACACGGCCCAGACUCCUACGGGNAGGCAGCAGUGGGGAAUAUUGCACAAUGGGCGCAAGCCUGAUGCAGCCAUGCCGCGUGUANUGAAGAAGGCCUUCGGGUUGUAAAGUACUUUCAGCGGGGAGGAAGGGUUGAGCCUGAACANGGGCUGGGCCUUGACGUUACCCGCAGAAGAAGCACCGGCUAACUCCGUGCCAGCAGCCGCNGGUAAUACGGAGGGUGCGAGCGUUAAUCGGAAUGACUGGGCGUAAAGCGCACGCAGGCGGNUCAAUUAAGUUAGAUGUGAAAUCCCCGGGCUCAACCUGGGAACGGCAUCUAAGACUGGUUGACUGGAGUCUCGUAGAGGGGGGUAGAAUUCCAUGUGUAGCGGUGAAAUGCGUAGAGAUGUGGAGGAAUACCGGUGGCGAAGGCGGCCCCCUGGACGAAGACUGACGCUCAGGUGCGAAAGCGUGGGGAGCAAACAGGAUUAGAUACCCUGGUAGUCCACGCUGUAAACGAUGUCGAUUUGGAGGUUGUGGCCCUGAGCUGUGGCUUCCGAAGCUAACGCGUUAAAUCGACCGCCUGGGGAGUACGGCCGCAAGGUUAAAACUCAAAUGAAUUGACGGGGGCCCGCACAAGCGGUGGAGCAUGUGGUUUAAUUCGAUGCAACGCGAAGAACCUUACCUACUCUUGACAUCCUCAGAAUUUGCAUGUGGUUUAAUUCGAUGCAACGCGAAGAACCUUACCUACUCUUGACAUCCUCAGAAUUUGCUGGAGACAGCGAAGUGCCUUCGGGAACUGAGAGACAGGUGCUGCAUGGCUGUCGUCAGCUCGUGUUGUGAAAUGUUGGGUUAAGUCCCGCAACGAGCGCAACCCUUAUCCUUUGUUGCCAGCACGUCGAGGUGGGAACUCAAAGGAGACUGCCGGUGAUAAACCGGAAGGAAGGUGGGGAUGACGUCAAGUCAUCAUGGCCCUUACGAGUAGGGCUACACACGUGCUACAAUGGCGGAUACAAAGUGAAGCGACCUCGCGAGAGCAAGCGGAACACACAAAGUCUGUCGUAGUCCGGAUUGGAGUCUGCAACUCGACUCCAUGAAGUCGGAAUCGCUAGUAAUCGUAGAUCAGCAUGCUACGGUGAAUACGUUCCCGGGCCUUGUACACACCGCCCGUCACACCAUGGGGAAGUGGGUGGCAAAAGAAGUCGGUAGCUUAACCUUUUUGGAGGGCGCUGACCACUUUGUGGCNUCAUGGACUGGGGUGAAGUCGUA